This 502-nucleotide ribosomal RNA is filed under the name uncultured bacterium. RNAcentral describes it as "bacterial SSU rRNA". It matches the Rfam family "Bacterial small subunit ribosomal RNA", at positions 791 to 1297 of the family's 1533-position model. The record is from RNAcentral.
UAGUCCACGCUGUAAACGAUGAUCACUCGAUAUAUGUCCUUCGGGAUGUGUGUCCAAGCGAAAGCGGUAAGUGAUCCACCUGGGGAGGUACGCUCGCAAGAGUGAAACUUAAAGGAAUUGACGGGAGUCCGCACAAGCGGUGGAUUAUGUGGUUUAAUUUGAUAGUACGCAAGGAACCUUACCUAGGUUAAAUGUAAGCUGUAACACUAAGAAAAGAGUGCCCCCGCAAGGGCAGCUUACAAGGUGCUGCAUGGCCGUCGUCAGCUCGUGCCGUGAGGUGUCGGGUUAAGUCCUUUAACGAGCGCAACCCCUAUGCUUAGUUGCCAGCGCGUAAUGGCGGGGACUCUAAGCAAACUGCCUGCGCAAGCAGUGAGGAAGGAAGGGAUGAGGUCAGGUCAUCAUGGCCCUUACGCCUAGAGCUACACACGUAAUACAAUGGCAUGUACAAAAAGUUGCAACCUAGCGAUAGGAAGCCAAUCUCCAAAGCAUGUCUCAGUUCGGA